AGCGAACGUUAGCGGCAGGCUUAACACAUGCAAGUCGAGCGAGAAAGAGGGUUUCGGCCCUCGAGUAAAGCGGCGUACGGGUGAGUAACACGUGGGUAAUCUGCCCUCCGGUGGGGGACAACAACCCGAAAGGGUUGCUAAUACCGCAUUCGUCGGCGAGCUCUGCGGAGCACGUCGGGAAAGGUGCCCUCUACUUGUAAGGUACCGCCGGAGGAGGAGCCCGCGUCCCAUCAGCUAGUUGGUAGGGAACGGCCUACCAAGGCAAAGACGGGUAGCUGGUCUGAGAGGAUGAUCAGCCACACUGGGACUGAGACACGGCCCA
This 322-nucleotide ribosomal RNA is filed under the name uncultured bacterium. Its description in RNAcentral is "bacterial SSU rRNA". It matches the Rfam family "Bacterial small subunit ribosomal RNA", at positions 29 to 333 of the family's 1533-position model. The record is from RNAcentral.